This 370-nucleotide ribosomal RNA is filed under the name uncultured organism. RNAcentral describes it as "bacterial SSU rRNA". It matches the Rfam family "Bacterial small subunit ribosomal RNA", at positions 526 to 896 of the family's 1533-position model. The record is from RNAcentral.
CGUAGGGUGCAAGCGUUAAUCAGAAUUACUGGGCGUAAAGCGUGCGCAGGCGGUUUGGUAAGACAGAUGUGAAAUCCCCGGGCUUAACCUGGGAAUUGCAUUUGUGACUGCCCGGCUAGAGUUUGGCAGAGGGGGGUAGAAUUCCACGUGUAGCAGUGAAAUGCGUAGAUAUGUGGAGGAAUACCGAUGGCGAAGGCAGCCCCCUGGGUCAAGACUGACGCUCAUGCACGAAAGCGUGGGGAGCAAACAGGAUUAGAUACCCUGGUAGUCCACGCCCUAAACGAUGUCUACUAGUUGUCGGGUCUUAAUUGACUUGGUAACGCAGCUAACGCGUGAAGUAGACCGCCUGGGGAGUACGGUCGCAAGAUUA